Molecule: ribosomal RNA, 506 nt
Filed under: uncultured bacterium
Lineage: Bacteria
Description: partial 16S ribosomal RNA
Rfam family: Bacterial small subunit ribosomal RNA
Source: RNAcentral
AGUGAACGCUGGCGGUAGGCCUAACACAUGCAAGUCGAACGGCAGCACAGAGGAGCUUGCUCCUUGGGUGGCGAGUGGCGGACGGGUGGGGAAUACAUCGGAAUCUACUCUGUCGUGGGGGAUAACGUAGGGAAACUUACGCUAAUACCGCAUACGACCUACGGGUGAAAGCAGGGGAUCUUCGGACCUUGCGCGAUUGAAUGAGCCGAUGUCGGAUUAGCUAGUUGGCGGGGUAAAGGCCCACCAAGGCGACGAUCCGCAGCUGGUCUGAGAGGAUGAUCAGCCACACCGGAACUGAGACACGGUCCAGGCUCCUACGGGAGGCAGCAGUGGGGAAUAUUGGACAAUGGGCGCAAGCCUGAUCCAGCCAUACCGCGUGGGUGAAGAAGGCCUUCGGGUUGUAGAGCCCUUUUGUUGGGAAAGAAAUCCAUCUGGUUAAUACCCGGGUGGGAUGACGGUACCCAAAGAAUAAGCACCGGCUAACUUCGUGCCAGCCGCCGCCGUAA